AUACUCCUGACUGACCGAUAGUGAACCAGUACCGUGAGGGAAAGGCGAAAAGAACCCCGGCGAGGGGAGUGAAAAAGAACCUGAAACCGUGUACGUACAAGCAGUGGGAGCACCUUCGGGUGUGACUGCGUACCUUUUGUAUAAUGGGUCAGCGACUUAUAUUCUGUAGCAAGGUUAACCGUAUAGGGGAGCCGCAGGGAAACCGAGUCUUAACUGGGCGUUAAGUUGCAGGGUAUAGACCCGAAACCCGGUGAUCUAGCCAUGGGCAGGUUGAAGGUUGGGUAACACUAACUGGAGGACCGAACCGACUAAUGUUGAAAAAUUAGCGGAUGACUUGUGGCUGGGGGUGAAAGGCCAAUCAAACCGGGAGAUAGCUGGUUCUCCCCGAAAGCUAUUUAGGUAGCGCCUCGUGAACUCAUCUUCGGGGGUAGAGCACUGUUUCGGCUAGGGGGUCAUCCCGACUUACCAACCCGAUGCAAACUACGAAUACCGAAGAAUGUUAUCACGGGAGACACACGGCGGGUGCUAACGUCCGUCGUGAAGAGGGAAACAACCCAGACCGCCAGCUAAGGUCCCAAAGUCAUGGUUAAGUGGGAAACGAUGUGGGAAGGCACAGACAGCCAGGAUGUUGGCUUAGAAGCAGCCAUCAUUUAAAGAAAGCGUAAUAGCUCACUGGUCGAGUCGGCCUGCGCGGAAGAUGUAACGGGGCUAAACCAUGCACCGAAGCUGCGGCAGCGACACUAUGUGUUGUUGGGUAGGGGAGCGUUCUGUAAGCCUGCGAAGGUGUGCUGUGAGGCAUGCUGGAGGUAUCAGAAGUGCGAAUGCUGACAUAAGUAACGAUAAAGCGGGUGAAAAGCCCGCUCGCCGGAAGACCAAGGGUUCCUGUCCAACGUUAAUCGGGGCAGGGUGAGUCGACCCCUAAGGCGAGGCCGAAAGGCGUAGUCGAUGGGAAACAGGUUAAUAUUCCUGUACUUGGUGUUACUGCGAAGGGGGGACGGAGAAGGCUAUGUUAGCCGGGCGACGGUUGUCCCGGUUUAAGCAUGUAGGCUGAUUGUCCAGGCAAAUCCGGAUAAUCAAGGCUGAGGUGUGAUGACGAGGCACUACGGUGCUGAAGUAACAAAUGCCCUGCUUCCAGGAAAAGCCUCUAAGCAUCAGGUAACAUCAAAUCGUACCCCAAACCGACACAGGUGGUCAGGUAGAGAAUACCAAGGCGCUUGAGAGAACUCGGGUGAAGGAACUAGGCAAAAUGGUGCCGUAACUUCGGGAGAAGGCACGCUGGUGUGUAGGUGAAGUCCCUGCGGAUGGAGCUGAGACCAGUCGAAGAUACCAGCUGGCUGCAACUGUUUAUUAAAAACACAGCACUGUGCAAACACGAAAGUGGACGUAUACGGUGUGACGCCUGCCCGGUGCCGGAAGGUUAAUUGAUGGGGUUAUCCGUAAGGAGAAGCUCUUGAUCGAAGCCCCGGUAAACGGCGGCCGUAACUAUAACGGUCCUAAGGUAGCGAAAUUCCUUGUCGGGUAAGUUCCGACCUGCACGAAUGGCGUAAUGAUGGCCAGGCUGUCUCCACCCGAGACUCAGUGAAAUUGAACUCGCUGUGAAGAUGCAGUGUACCCGCGGCAAGACGGAAAGACCCCGUGAACCUUUACUAUAGCUUGACACUGAACAUUGAGCCUUGAUGUGUAGGAUAGGUGGGAGGCUUUGAAGCGUGGACGCCAGUCUGCGUGGAGCCAACCUUGAAAUACCACCCUUUAAUGUUUGAUGUUCUAACGUUGGCCCCUGACCGGGGUUGCGGACAGUGUCUGGUGGGUAGUUUGACUGGGGCGGUCUCCUCCCAAAGCGUAACGGAGGAGCACGAAGGUUAGCUAAUCCUGGUCGGACAUCAGGAGGUUAGUGCAAUGGCAUAAGCUAGCUUGACUGCGAGCGUGACGGCGCGAGCAGGUGCGAAAGCAGGUCAUAGUGAUCCGGUGGUUCUGAAUGGAAGGGCCAUCGCUCAACGGAUAAAAGGUACUCCGGGGAUAACAGGCUGAUACCGCCCAAGAGUUCAUAUCGACGGCGGUGUUUGGCACCUCGAUGUCGGCUCAUCACAUCCUGGGGCUGAAGUAGGUCCCAAGGGUAUGGCUGUUCGCCAUUUAAAGUGGUACGCGAGCUGGGUUUAGAACGUCGUGAGACAGUUCGGUCCCUAUCUGCCGUGGGCGCUGGAGAAUUGAGGGGGGCUGCUCCUAGUACGAGAGGACCGGAGUGGACGCAUCACUGGUGUUCGGGUUGUCAUGCCAAUGGCACUGCCCGGUAGCUAAAUGCGGAAGAGAUAAGUGCUGAAAGCAUCUAAGCACGAAACUUGCCCCGAGAUGAGUUCUCCCUGAGACUAUAAGUCUCCUGAAGGAACGUUAAAGACGAUGACGUUGAUAGGCCGGGUGUGUAAGCGCAGCGAUGCGUUGAGCUAACCGGUACUAAUGAACCGUGAGGCUUAACCUU
Molecule: ribosomal RNA, 2473 nt
Filed under: Klebsiella pneumoniae
Lineage: Bacteria; Pseudomonadati; Pseudomonadota; Gammaproteobacteria; Enterobacterales; Enterobacteriaceae
Description: bacterial LSU rRNA
Rfam family: Bacterial large subunit ribosomal RNA
Source: RNAcentral